GUGAGUGAUUUUGCAGAUAUAAUUAAAGCCCCCAGUCAGUUUACCUGAUGAUAUGGAGAUCACCUGAGUGGGCCUGACCCAAUCAUGUGAGCUUUUUAAAAGCUUAUAUGGUGUUCUCUGGCUGAUCACAGUAGAAGUCAGAGAGUUUCAAGGCAGAUUCAGGGCUCAAUGAACCGUUGCUUCCUUUGAAGAUGGAGGAAACCUCAUGAAAAGCAAUGUGGACAGCCUCCUAGAGGAGAGAGGGGCCCCCAAAUGGCAGCCAGCAAAGAAAUGGGGACGUUAGAACCUCCUACCUACAGUUAUGAGUAACAGGAUUUUGCCAAUGAUUUGCAUGAGCUCGGAAGUGGAUUACCCUCCAGAGCCUGCAGAUAAGAGCCCCAUUAUGGGCUACUUGAGUUUGGUCUUGUGAGAUGGAGCAGAGAACUCAGCUAACCCAUACCCAGACUUAUGAGAGACCACAUGUUCCAGAUGAAGUAAAUACCAGAUGUCGGAAGGCCAUCCAACCUACAUCAGAUUUGAGUGAAUGAGAUAAAAACCUUUUAUGGUGUUAAGCUGUGAAAUGAGUCUGACUUUGAUGUAUCUAGGUGUGGUUCUCUUUGUGAAUACCCUAUAUGGGGUUCAUCGAACUUCUUGGAUCUUUAAGUUGUAACUGGCCCAGACUACUGUGGAGUCUGUCUCCUGCACCUGUGCAACCCCUGAUGUCUCAGCUAAGUUUUUUUUUCUCUGUUUAUAAAAUUCUUAUUCAUAUCUUUUAGUCUGGCUUCAUAGGGAUUGCAUCUGUGCCUGCAGAGGGUAUUUGUCAGCUCUUGAUUUGGAAAAAGUUUGCGCCCAUCAGGCCUCCACUGUUUUGCAUUUUGUGUCAUUUCAGACAUGCAUUCAAAGUUGCAUCCAAUUCUCAAGUUUCCCUUUGCUUUCUUUCUUUCUUUUCUUUUUUUGGUUGCUUCUUCUGGGUCUCCCUGGUGCAUGUGAGGUUUAGCAGUCAACCAGGGUUGUGUGAAAGCUGAUCUCAGCCCUUCCAUGGCUCUCUUAGUUCUAGGAUCACCUCCUUAGUUUUUUUUUUGUCUGCUAUUCACCCUGAAUUAUUUUAGCAUGACUGGGGGAACAAGGUAUGGGCAUUUCCUCUGUGCUCUGACAUGAGUCUGUCACUUUUAAACUAGCAAAGCCUUCAAUUUUCUGUAUCCCUCUCCCUCCCACCCAAAGCAAUUUGAGUUCACCACCACUGGCUGCAAAGGUGCUGUUUGUGCUGUCAGUCUCAAACCACGAAACUACAGCUUUGACAGCUGAGUGGAGGGUGUAUGGAUGGGAGUAGAUGAAGACAAGCAGCCCAGAGAUUCACAAUAGAUUUGUUGCCAUUCUUACCCAAUGUUGUUGGAGUUUUCAAAACGAAUGCUUUUCAGUGUAUUUGUCUGUUCAAUUUCCUGUGUCCCGAAAUAGUUUGAAAGAUUUUUUUUAAAAGUGUUAUAGGACUCAUUCUACCUCCUCUCAUUUGUUCUAUCGUUAAAUCCUACUUCCUGUGGUUGAUUUUGAAUUGUAA
This 1534-nucleotide long non-coding RNA is filed under the name Equus caballus (horse). Its description in RNAcentral is "lncRNA (ENSECAG00000048882.1)". Lineage: Eukaryota; Metazoa; Chordata; Mammalia; Perissodactyla; Equidae. The record is from RNAcentral.